AUUGAACGCUGGCGGCAGGCCUAACACAUGCAAGUCGAGCGGAUGAAGGGAGCUUGCUCCUGGAUUCAGCGGCGGACGGGUGUGUAAUGCCUAGGGAUCUGCCUGGUAGUGGGGGAUAACGUCCGGAAACGGGCGCUAAUACCGCAUACGUCCUGAGGGAGAAAGUGGGGGAUCUUCGGACCUCACGCUAUCAGAUGAGCCUAGGUCGGAUUAGCUAGUUGGUGGGGUAAAGGCCUACCAAGGCGACGAUCCGUAACUGGUCUGAGAGGAUGAUCAGUCACACUGGAACUGAGACACGGUCCAGACUCCUACGGGAGGCAGCAGUGGGGAAUAUUGGACAAAGGGCGAAAGCCUGAUCCAGCCAUGCCGCGUGUGUGAAGAAGGUCUUCGGAUUGUAAAGCACUUUAAGUUGGGAGGAAGGGCAGUAAGUUAAUACCUUGCUGUUUUGACGUUACCAACAGAAUAAGCACCGGCUAACUUCGUG
RNAcentral lists this ribosomal RNA (484 nucleotides) under uncultured bacterium. RNAcentral's name for it is "partial 16S ribosomal RNA". It matches the Rfam family "Bacterial small subunit ribosomal RNA", at positions 30 to 507 of the family's 1533-position model. The record is from RNAcentral.